UGCAAUUGCUUCAUGAACAUUACGUGGCAAUAAUGCUGAAAAAGCAAACGGAAGGAGGCGCUGCAUAAUUACAUGACAAUCAUGACUCUUCAAGCCAGUAAACUUUCAUUCGCUUCUAUCAACGCAGUUCCCCAAAUUUGAUGCAUAUCCGUCAGGAAAUUUCACUUUUUCUGUAAUCCAAUCAAAGAACUCUUCUUUUCUAGCACCAUCUAGCCGAUAAAUGGGAAAAGGGGUCGUACCGUUCUCAUCAACGUGAAGUUCAGAACGAUCACAAAUAUCGACUAAAUCCAACCUUGACUUCAAAUUAUCCUUCGUUUUACCUUGGAUGUUAAGGACUGUGUUCAUCAGAUUAUCGAAGAAGUUCUUCUCAAUAUGCAUGACAUCUAAAUUAUGCCGCAAUAGAUGACUCUCCCAAUAUGGCAGUUCCCAGAAAAUACUCUUUUUGUGUCAGUUAUGUAGCUCUCCAACCGAAUUGACUCGAAUGUUUUCAUGUCCACCUACAUCUGGCGUCCUUUCUGCAUCAAAAUACCUAAACUGCUUCAACAAAUCUUUCC
Molecule: long non-coding RNA, 554 nt
Filed under: Brassica napus (rape)
Lineage: Eukaryota; Viridiplantae; Streptophyta; Magnoliopsida; Brassicales; Brassicaceae
Description: long non-coding RNA (BNAP_LNC020377)
Source: RNAcentral